Small nuclear RNA from Arachis stenosperma, 161 nucleotides. RefSeq annotates it as U1 spliceosomal RNA. The record is from RefSeq and is a predicted model, not a curated record. NCBI's taxonomy places the organism in Eukaryota, Viridiplantae, Streptophyta, Magnoliopsida, Fabales, Fabaceae. The transcript has a single exon.
AUACUUACCUGGAUGGGGUCAAUGGGUGAUCAAGAAGGCCUAUGGCCUAGGUUGGUGAUUUCUAUUGCACUUAGGAAGGGUGCCUGCCUAAGGUCUCCUCAAGUAGGAGAGCCUACAUCAUAAUUUGUGGUAGUGGGGAGUUGCGUUCGCGCAGUCCCUAU